GGGAGAUGAGAUAGGUUUAGGGGUGAAACGCCAAUCGAACUGAGAGAUAGCUCGUUCUCUCCGAAAUGCAUUUAGGUGCAGCCUUAAGAGUUUAAUUGCGGGGGUAGAGCACUGAAUGGUCUAGAGGGCAUAUUGCUUAUCGAAGCCAACCAAACUCCGAAUACCGUAAUUUAUAUCUUAGGAGUGAGACUAUGGGUACUAAGAUCCAUGGUCAAAAGGGAAACAACCCAGACCGUCAGCUAAGGUCCCAAAUUAUAGCUAAGUGGGAAAGGAGGUGGAGAUUCCCAAACAACCAGGAGGUUGGCUUAGAAGCAGCCAUACCUUUAAAGAGUGCGUAAUAGCUCACUGGUCGA
This 353-nucleotide ribosomal RNA is filed under the name Prolixibacteraceae bacterium JC049. RNAcentral's name for it is "partial 23S ribosomal RNA". It matches the Rfam family "Bacterial large subunit ribosomal RNA", at positions 799 to 1152 of the family's 2925-position model. Lineage: Bacteria; Pseudomonadati; Bacteroidota; Bacteroidia; Marinilabiliales; Prolixibacteraceae. The record is from RNAcentral.